This 315-nucleotide long non-coding RNA is filed under the name Androctonus crassicauda. The record is from RNAcentral. Lineage: Eukaryota; Metazoa; Arthropoda; Arachnida; Scorpiones; Buthidae.
AGUUCUCCUAUCUCAGAAAGUUAAUUGGACUUGCAUAAAUUGGGAGGGGGUGUUGAAUGUGAUGCAAUUUCUGCAGGUGGUGACACCACUCCUCACUUCCCUGGGUGGUCUUUUUACCCCAACUCUGAGAAAAUUCGUCACUAGCGUGGGUCCUCUGUUCAGCACCGGGUGUGUGUGCAAUCAGUUUUUUUUGGUCUCUUUGUUCUAUGUAUUAUGUUAUAUAUAUAUUAUUAAAGGAAGUAGUUUACAUUUUUGCGUCCUGGAUAUUUGCUUUAUUCAAGAUUAAAAAUUCAACAUAUCUAAUUUGUGUUUUUG